AACGAACGCUGGCGGCAGGCUUAACACAUGCAAGUCGAGCGCCCCUUCGGAGGGAGCGGCGGACGGGUUAGUAACGCGUGGGAACGUGCCUUUCGCUACGGAAUAGCCCAGGGAAACUUGGAUUAAUACCGUAUACGCCCUUUUGGGAAAGAUUUAUCGGACGAGAGAUCGGCCCGCGUUGGAUUAGGUAGUUGGUGGGGUAAUGGCCUACCAAGCCGACGAUACCAUAGCUGGUUUGAGAGGAUGAUCAGCAACACU
Molecule: ribosomal RNA, 258 nt
Filed under: uncultured Alphaproteobacteria bacterium
Lineage: Bacteria; Pseudomonadati; Pseudomonadota; Alphaproteobacteria
Description: partial 16S ribosomal RNA
Rfam family: Bacterial small subunit ribosomal RNA
Source: RNAcentral